CCCUUAGAUGUCCGGGGCCGCACGCGCGCUACACUGAAGGAAUCAGCGUGGCUUUCUCCCUGACCCGAAAGGGUUGGGAAACCCGUUGAAUCUCCUUCGUGAUAGGGAUUGGGGCUUGAAAUUGUUCCCCAUGAACGAGGAAUUCCCAGUAAGCGCGAGUCAUAAGCUCGCGUUGAUUACGUCCCUGCCCUUUGUACACACCGCCCGUCGCUACUACCGAUUGAACGGUUUAGUGAGGGCCUCGGAUUGGUCUCGUCCCGCUCUUUACCGGGCGGCGCCGUUGGUCGAGAAGACGCUCGAACUUGAUCGUUUAGAGGAAGUAAAAGUCGUAACA
This 334-nucleotide ribosomal RNA is filed under the name uncultured eukaryote. RNAcentral's name for it is "partial 18S ribosomal RNA". It matches the Rfam family "Eukaryotic small subunit ribosomal RNA", at positions 1470 to 1796 of the family's 1831-position model. The record is from RNAcentral.